UCUAAACGACUCUCGGCAACGGAUAUCUCGGCUCUCGCAUCGAUGAAGAACGUAGCGAAAUGCGAUACUUGGUGUGAAUUGCAGAAUCCCGUGAACCAUCGAGUCUUUGAACGCAAGUUGCGCCCGAAGCUUCUGGCCGAGGGCACGCCUGCCUGGGCGUCAC
RNAcentral lists this ribosomal RNA (163 nucleotides) under Veronica arvensis (corn speedwell). Its description in RNAcentral is "5.8S ribosomal RNA". It matches the Rfam family "5.8S ribosomal RNA". From Rfam's summary of the family: 5.8S ribosomal RNA (5.8S rRNA) is a component of the large subunit of the eukaryotic ribosome. It is transcribed by RNA polymerase I as part of the 45S precursor that also contains 18S and 28S rRNA. The record is from RNAcentral. Lineage: Eukaryota; Viridiplantae; Streptophyta; Magnoliopsida; Lamiales; Plantaginaceae.